CGCACGGGUGAGUAACACGUAUCCAACCUGCCGUCUACUCUUGGACAGCCUUCUGAAAGGAAGAUUAAUACAAGAUGGCAUCAUGAGUCCGCAUGUUCACAUGAUUAAAGGUAUUCCGGUAGACGAUGGGGAUGCGUUCCAUUAGAUAGUAGGCGGGGUAACGGCCCACCAAACCUUCGAUGGAUAGGGGUUCUGAGAGGAAGGUCCCCCACAUUGGAACUGAGACACGGUCCAA
Molecule: ribosomal RNA, 235 nt
Filed under: uncultured bacterium
Lineage: Bacteria
Description: partial 16S ribosomal RNA
Rfam family: Bacterial small subunit ribosomal RNA
Source: RNAcentral